UUUCACUAUAUAAACUGAACUUCUUGACUAGCUAGCCAAGAGCCUAGGAAGCUAGAUACCUAUAUCCUCUAUCUUUCAGUAUUCUAAUAAUAUACAAGAAACAGCAAGCUGGUAAAGUGUUGCGACAUGCAGCAAAACUAGUCUUCUUUCUUUAUGUUAAUUUAUAUGCUCUCUAUGUUAAUAUUUCCUACUUGUUUGGAACAGGUUAAAUUAAUUUAAUUUCUGACUCUGUGAAUCACUCUUCAGGUAGUCGUGCAGACUUUGAUUGUUGUCAUUUUUGCCUCUCUGUUUUUCAUUGGAACUAUUCAUGAAGCCCAUGCACAAAUGCUCCCUGUAGCAAGUCGUCGGUUUCUUAGUGAAGUUGAUCCUCAUCGAGCUGUUCCUGAUGGUCCGAAUAGAUGUACUAGUUGUCAUCAUUAUCAUACAUAUGGUCAAAAGGCUCCUCCUCGUGAUUUGGAUCUUUCCGAAUCUUAUGGCCCGCCACGUUCCUAAAGGCGAUAGCCUCUACAACUGUUGCUGUCAUGUGUGAUAAGGAUGUGUUUGAUUGGAAAUAAUGUGGAACUAACAUGUAUAGUGGCCAAAAGAGUAGUAAUUUAUGGUCAUGGAAGUUUCACAGAGUUUGAAGUAGGAUGAGUCUGUAAUAAUAAGGUUUCUUGUUUGUGUGUAACAGCAAAAUCUAGUGUGUUAAUUUACGUUAAUUGUUGAGGCCAUGAAAGUUUCAGAAAGUUUAUUACAUGUCCAUGUUCGGUUCAACCAAUAAGUUCACAAGCUGAGAUGUGGGAAGAAUUAAUAUAUAUAAAGUUUGAUUGAUUUACGAACACAGUA
This 825-nucleotide long non-coding RNA is filed under the name Olea europaea subsp. europaea. The record is from RNAcentral. Lineage: Eukaryota; Viridiplantae; Streptophyta; Magnoliopsida; Lamiales; Oleaceae.